ACUUUUUUAGUAUAAUAAUUAUAUUUGACUUCCAAUCAAAAGAUCUUAAUUUAAGAAAAAGUA
This 63-nucleotide transfer RNA is filed under the name Riptortus pedestris. RNAcentral describes it as "tRNA-Gly". It matches the Rfam family "tRNA". Rfam says of the family: Transfer RNA (tRNA) molecules are approximately 80 nucleotides in length. The record is from RNAcentral. Lineage: Eukaryota; Metazoa; Arthropoda; Insecta; Hemiptera; Alydidae.